UGCGGCUCAGGCGCCCCCAAACGCGAACCCGGGACCUCCGCGCCCGCCGCUGUGGGGAGGGUGCGGCCCGAGACGCUUGGAGGGCGGCGGGCGCCGGAAUCGCAGCCUGCUGUGGCCACUUGCCCGCACUCUUGCCUGACUGACCAUUUUCCGCUCUGGCUACUGGGCCUCCCACGGAGUUCUGUCCUCAGGGUUCGUCAAUUACCUGGAAUUGCGUAACCGCCCGUUACAGGCCAGACCGAGGCCGAGAGCGAUUUCUCCAGACAACAGUCUGGAAUUCCUCAAGGAGCGUACCCUCUAGUUUUCACGAUAGGAUAAAGGGCUUGAGAGAGCACUGAGGAGGAGUCACUUAUUCUGCCUGAGGGGAAGUCAGGUUGCUAUCUGAAGUUGGCCUUGCGGCUGCUGUCCCAUUUGCGGGAGCCGUAGCCGCAGGUGACACCUGAGCUCUCGAAAUGUGGCUGGUCUGAAUAGAGAUGUGUUCCAAGAUUUAGAAGAUUUAAUUUAAAAAGUGAUAUUUUGGGUAUAUUGGGUUAAAUAUAUUAAAAUUAAUUUCACCUGGUUUUAACUUUUUAAAUGUGGCUAUAAAUAUGGCUUGCAUUAUAUUUCUAUUGGAUAGUGCUACCUUGCAGCAUUAAGAUGGAUUUGACUAGAAAAGAUGAGAAGGGCCUACAAACAGUGAGUAAACCCAUUGCUGUUAGAAUCUGUUUAUAACCUACAAGUCACAUUCACAUUCCUUAUUUCAUCAUUACAACAAUUUUCAAAAAUUUUAUUUAGUAGACUUAAAAAAUAAUUGACUCACUUAAGGUCAUAUGUGACAAUCAUUCGUUUAAUGCAUAUUUAUUUUCUACGUGUGCCAGACACUGUAACUAAAUGCUGGGAGUUAAAGGAUUCACAGUCUGGGGAAGCACAUGUCAACAAAUAUUUGCAAUAAAAACGUAGAUUCUAAAACAGAGGAACGUACGCUGCACUUGAAGCAAAGAGAAGUGACCACGUAUGGGACGGAGGUCAGAGAAGGCCCCCCACUCUGACAGAAAUCGUGAGGCAGAGAAGAGUCAGGAGGGCUGUCUAAUGAAAGAGGAAAAUGCAGUAGACACGCAGUUGGGAAGAGUAUAGAGCAUAUUCUAGGAGCAGAUCAUGGGAUAUGUCGGGGUAGUAGUAGAGCCAGAAUUUUUAUCCCGGGUCCUGGAACUAAGUCCAGGGGUUCUUUUCACUUAUGCUACCACUGGUGGUAAAUAUAAGGUGCGUUAAUUGGAGUAGGCUAGCAAAACCAGUAUCUCGGGGCUUAACUCCAUAAAGGCUUAUGUUCAUACAAGUCACAGUGUGGUAACAAGUUGGUUGGGGCCAGAGGGUGGGGUCUGUACUUCUUGAAUUCAUUGAAGGACCAGGCUUCUUGCAUUUGGUGGUUCUCCCAUGCCGAGGCCUUGGUAAUGUAGUCAAAUCUGUGGCCCUCAGAUAAGGGAGGCUGGCCGUGGUUAACUUGUCAGAGAUAUUAGGGGCCAGUCCUGGAAGUGGUGUGUAUCAUUUUCACCCCAUUCCCUUAGCCAGAACUCAUGCGCAUGGUCACAUGGCCCUACCCAGAAGGGUGGCUGGGAAGUAAAGAAUGUGUGCCUCAUGGAAAAGGAAAUGGGCGCUGCUGGACACAGCAUUGCCUCGUCACACAGAGUUAAAUUGAACAUAACCAAGUACGUAAACCUGACUUUACCUGAAAAGAAUGUUUGGAAAGAACUGAUAGAUAUUAUAAUAGCCCAAACUCUCCUCGACUGUUUUGGGAAACAAAUCAGUGUGAGAUUGUUUCCAAAAAAUAAAAAAAGCCAGGUGCAGUGUCUCAUGCCUGUAAUCCCAGCACUUUGGGAGGUAGAGGCGGGCGGAUCACAAGGUCAGGAGUUCAAAACCAGCCUGGCCAACAUAGUGAAACCCUGUCUCUAGCUGGGCAUGGUGGUGCGUGCCUGUAGUCCCAGCUACUUGGGAGGCUGAGGCAGGAGAAUCGCUUGAAACCAGGAGGUGGAAGUUGCAGUGAGCAGAGAUCGUGCCACUAAUACUCCAGCUUGGGCAACAGAAUGAGACUUCGUCUCAAAAAAAAAAAAAAAAAAAGAGGCUGAAUGGUAUCAUCUUCUUUAUACCAGAACCUUUUCUUUUUAAAAAUAACUUUUAUAAUUUUAAAUUUGUGUAGUUACAUAAUAGGUGAAUAUCUUUAUGGGGUACAUGAGAUAUUUUGAUGCAGGUAUGCAAUGCAUGAUAAUCACAUCAUGGGAAUCAGGUAUCCAUCCCCUCAAGCAUUUAUCCUUUGUGUUACAAACAAUCCAAUUAUACCCUUUUAGUUACUUUAAAAUGUACAGUUAUUAUUGACUAUAAUAACUAUUAAAUACUAGGUCUAUUAAAUACUAGGUUGUUCUAUUAAAUACUAGGUCUUAUUCAUGCAUUCAAACUAUUUUUUGUACCCAUUAACCAUCCUCACUGUCCCCAUUCCCCCAUUACCCUUCCCAGCCUCUGGUAACCAUCCUUCUACUCUCUAUCUCCAUGGGUUGAAUUGUUUUGAUUUUUAGAUCCUCCAAAUAAGUGAGAACAUGUGAUGUUUGUCUUUCUGUGUCUGGCUUAUUUCGCUUAACAUAAUGACUUCCAGUUCCAUCCAUGUUGUUGCAAAUGACUAAAUCUCAUUCUUUUUUUAUGGCUGAAUAGUGCUCCAUUGUGUGUAAGUACCAUUUGUUCUUUAUUCAUUCAUCUGUUAAUGGACACUUAGAUUGCUUCCAAAUCUUGGCUAUGGUGAACAGAGCUGCAACAAACAUGGGAAUGCAGAUAUCUCUUUGAUAAACUGAUUUCCUUUCUUUUAGGUAUAUACCCAGCAGUGGGAUUGCUGGAUCAUAUAGGAGCUCAAUUUUUAGUUUUUUUGAGGAACCUCCAAACUGUUCUCCCUAGUAGUUAUACUAAUUUACAUUCCCACUAGCAGUGUAUGAGGGUUCCCUUUUCUCUACAUCCUUACCAGCAUUUGUUAUUGCCUGCUUUUUGAAUAUAAGCCAUUUUAACAGGAGUGAGAUGAUAUCUCAUUGGAGUUUUGAUUUGCAUUUCUCUGAUGAUCAGUAAUAUUGAGCACCUUCUCAUAUGUCUGUUUGCCAUUUGUAUGUAUUCUUUUGAGAAAUGUCUAUUCAAAUCUUUUGCCUAUUUUUUAACCAGAGUAUUAGAUUUUUUCCUGUAGAGUUGCUUGAGAUCCUUAUAUAUUCUGGUUAUUAAUCUCUUAUCAGAUAAGUAGUUUGCAAAUAUUUUCUCCCAUUCUGUGUGUUGUCUCUUCAAUUUGUUGAUUGCUUCUUUUGCUGUGCAGAAGCUUUUUAACUUGAUGUGACCCCGUUUGUCCAUUUUUGCUUUGGUCGUCCGUACUUGUACAGAACCUUGUCUUAAACAUCACAAGGAAUAAAUUCAAAAUGUCUUUAUAUUAUGCUUUGGUGUGCCAUCUCUUUAGUUAUCAGUUAACAAACCCUGCAAGGUGUAGAUCUGCAUGGGUUCAGGGACAUUAAGUGAGCCAAGAGGCACAAUCAGGAAUUGAGCCCUGGUCUGACUUCUCACUGGGUGCACCUUUAACCAGAGUGGUACUUUACCUUUUACAAUGGACAAGUACAAACUCCUAUGCAAUGUUACAGCAGGGAUUAAUUAACUAUGCAUUGAGUAGCAGGCAGAUGAUUCCAUCUUUUUCAGACUUUCUGAUGGAGGAGUUUCAAGAUCAGCUUUGAAGGUGAAAUGUAGGAAGGGCAUCCCAUAUAGAAUCAGAAGGCAGAAAUGGACAUGCUGUGGCAUGUUGUGGAAUGAAGAACACACAUAUGUGGGGGUGUCAGUCUAGAGUAGAGAAGAAACAGGGAAAUUGAUAGAAUAGUGGAUGAAGGUGGUGGAUGAAGAAUUUUUUAUUUGCUAUAUCAGGUGAUAGGGAGUCAUUAUAUUUGUGUUUAAAAGGAAGUGAUACACCUGAUGGUGCCAAUUAUAUCAUUGUAAGGAGACUUGGUGGUCCUGGGCUGCUCUGUUGAUGGAAUUCUGGUAACUGGGAUGAGUUGGGCACACAGGUGGAUUCUAAUGUGUGGAAUACAGAGUUCCUUGGGACAUAGCAGCAUUCUUCCUGCUGCUGUUGGUCAUAAGUAGAUACAGGGUAUGAACUGUGAGAGUGAGUGGCUGCAGUGGUGAACACAAUCAUUUAAGGUAAAAUAAAGCCAAGGAACUGAGAGACUAGAGUGCUAGCAGGGAUAGGGUUCAAAAUAUUUAACUACUAGUGCUAGCAUGGCAUGGACCCAUCAAAAUAGAUGUAGCCCAUAACGCUGGUGCAGGGUCCUGCAGGCACCUUGUUGUGUUAGAUGAUUACUUUUUGUUUCUGAAUCGUGAAGAGAUCUGUUGAAUCCUGAUGAGGGGCUAGAGCAUUGAGGCAUGACAUUGAAGAGGAUUGACAGUGGCUAUGAAAAUAUUUCAGUAUUUUAGCAAGGAAUACAAUUAUACUUGCACAUAUUCAUAUGCAUGAGAUGCAUUGUCCUCAUGGAUGUUGAAGUCACUAGGAAUAAUGAAGGCAUUAUGGAGAGAGGGAUAGUAAGCCAGUUGAUGGAGUCUUAAAUGAAAGGUGAGUGACCAGGAGUGUGGUAGGUAAUAAUAACAAGGAGGAGUGUGUGUGGAAUAGUUUGAUGACAUGUGCUUCAAUGCAGCUGGACAUUAUUUAGAGAGGAAGGAUGAAAAUGGUACUUGAAGCAGCAAGGAGAAAAGAGAGUUCACUAUACUGAACAGAGACCACUUGCCCCAACACCGAACCUGAAGUAGAGCCUGGGUAUCUGAAAAAAGCUGUCCCAUAGAAUGAGAGAACCACAGCGAGAUGAGAAGGGCAUGCGGAGAAGGCUUUGCCUUGGCCCUCAGAGGAGCAGAUGCUCAGUAUGACAGAUGUGAUUCUAGAGUAAGAGAAGAAGAUUAGGGAAAGUGUCAGUAGCCCCCAGAAUGCCUGUGACACAGCUAGAAGAAUCUCAUUGACAGUGGGAUCAAUGUAGGACAGAGGGAAGAAUGGAGGCAGCUUACACCUGAAAUAAGGAUGAUGUCAGGCCCACAGAAAUGUAACUUGUGGGUGAAAAGACUGUCCAUCAAGGAAAUCAGAAAUCCCGCUGCCCAAGCAAUUCUCAAAAUCACCAUACAGAGAGAUCUGUUCAUGACCAUGGUAUAGACCACAGGGUGGCGGAUGGUAGCAUAGUGAUCAUAGGCCAUGGCAGAGAACAGACAGGCUUCCGUUCCCCCAGAGAGAGUGAAAAAGAAACUUGGUGAGGCAGCCCCACAUUGAGAUGCUUUUCUUCUGAGAGGAAAUUUUGUAGCAUCCUGGGCACAGUAACUAGGAGUAGCUGAGAUCCAGAAAGGACAGAUGUCAAAGGAAGAAGUACAUGGGUCUUUGAAGGUGAGAAUCAGCCCUGAUCUCCAGGAUCAUCACCAGCUUCCCCGUCAAAGUCAGGAGAUGAAUCACCAGGAUUAGCACAAAGAGCAUGAUCUGGAUCUCUGCAUCACUGGAAAAUCCCACAAGGACAAACUCAGGACUAAUAUUGACAUUUAUUAUGGUUGCUUAGAGAUUCUGUCCCUCAAAAGAAAUGAAUGGUUCUCUACUUGGCAGGGCAUUCAUCUGAGUCAUUCUCACUGAACAGGAGUUUUCUACUUACAGACGAGUAUACCUCCUUACCUAUGGCCCAAAAUGGGAAACUCGGGAUAAGGAAGUGUCAUCUUAAGUACAAUCUCCUCACUUGCCCUUCUUUCCUACCUUCUAGUACUGUCUCUGCAUGAUCUUGAAGGCUUUACUCUGUACCUCCAUCACUGUUUAGUAAAUGUACCAAGUGCAUAUGAAUCAGGUAGGUCCUGGAGUCAAAAUGAGACAAACUGCCCCAGUGGCAAAGCCUAGAAAAUCUUCUCUGGAUAAGGGUUGGGAGGCCUAUCGGAAAAUGAUUCCUUCUCAGAAUGGUAAGAUCAUAGACUCACACUAUGUGAGGACAUUUACAUAAUAUACUUUAAUCCCUUCAUUUUACAAAUGAAGAGAAUGCAUUGCCUAUGGUCUCAUAGCAAAGUGAGGACUAGGUUGGGACUAAAACCAGUCAAGGUUGGAACUAGAACCAGGUGUUUCAGCUAGUCUUGUAUGCAUCCAAGUGCAUCAUACUUGGUGAUUUUGAAUUGUUAGAGCUGAGUCUUGUGUGGUUAGGGGAUCAUGUGCAACUUUGCUAGUAGGGAGUUCGCUUCUUAAAAAUUUUUUUCUUUCAGCUCCCCACACAUCUAAAUAUUUUGUAAGGAGAUACUUUGAAAGGGUAAGUCUGGCUCCAUGAAUGUCCCAUCUGUAUAGCUGCAAAGUAUCCUGAUUUAGAAGGGUCCUGAGCUCUGGCCCUGUUUACUUUUUUUUUUUUUUUUUUUAGACAGGGUCUCACCAUGUUGCCCAGGCUGGAGUGCAGUGGCACAAUCACAGCUCACUGCAGCCUCGACCUCCUGGGCUUGAGCGAUCUUGCUGCCUCAGCCUCCUGAGUAACUGGGACUACAUGAGUAGCUGGGACUACAGUGUAGCUCUAGCUAGAGCAACCUGGAUUCUUUUUGAGAACAUCACAUCAUUGGCAGAAGAUGCUGGAAAGUCAGGGAAUCAAAUCAAGAAAUGCAGACACAGAACCGCAUCACUCAUUAUAAUUUGGAGGGCAGCAAAAAGAAAGGUCUCCUCUUUUCCACUUGUCUCCAGAUGGAGCCCCAUUCACCAGCACUAGAAACUUAAAUCGUGGGGGGAAUUUCUCCUUUAGAAAUGAAGGUCAAAGAGUGAAAAUCUUACAAAGGACAUUUUCACAAAGGACAAAGUUGGAAAUUCUAGCCUGUCAGGGCCUAGACUUCCUCACAGAAAGAAAAAUACUGCGUUAGCAUUAUUCAAGGGGUCACAGGAAUAAAUAAAGUCAUGUCUUAUUUUUUUUAACCCGCUGCUGCAAUUUCACUAUUCUCACUGCUUCAUCUAUUCAAACUCUGAAUCCAAAUUUAGAAUGGAAACAGCUCUGAGAAUGCUACCACUAUGGUUAUUGAUACAAUCAGUUGGAGUCAGCUGACUAGAUCUUUCCCAAAAAGGCCUGCCUGAGAGGAACUUUUUUAAGAAUGAGACAUACAAAAGUAUCUAGUACUGUGGCAGUCACAAAGGUUGCUCCAAAUAUAUUAUUUAAAAAUACAAAUGAAUGGCCGGGCGCAGUGGCUCACGCCUGUAAUCCCAGCACUUUGGGAGGCCGAGGUGGGCGGAUCACGAGGUCAGGAGAUGGAGACCAUCCUGGCUAACACAGUGAAACCCUGGCUCUACUAAAAAUACAAAAAUUAGCCAGGCGUGGUGGCUUGGGCCUGUAGUCCCAGCUACUCGGGAGGCUGAGGCAGGAGAAUGGCGGGUGAACCCGGGAGGCAGAGCUUGCAGUGAGCCAAGAUCGUGCCACUGCACUCCAGCCUGGGCGACAGAGCGAGACUCCGUCUCUUAAAAAAAAAAAUUAAUACAUUGAUGAACGGAUGAGUAUGUGAAUGAAUAUGGCUCAGGAAGAGAAUAGUCUAGGGCUUUGCUGCUCACCGAGAACAGACCUAAUUGGGAGCCAGUCGAGGAUUUUAGACUCCCUGGGCUUGCAUUAAGCCAGAUAUAGUAAAGGUAAUAGAGAAGAAUUUCACCAACUGGACAGGUUUGCCCCAAAGCAGUGUGUUUUGCUCUGUUCUGCACUUUCGCAUACCUCAGAGUAUAUAAUUAUAGGGGAUAUCCAUAAUUAAAGAUAUGGUUAGUUUCUGAAUCUCAUGUUUGGAGUUCUGGGAGAGGGUUCUUUUUGAGUCACAAAGUGCCCAGAGUCUAUCGCUGAAGUCCUCAUCUCCUCCCACCCCUUAUAGAGAGCUCUCAAGUAUUAGCCUCCCCAAACUUCCAGGUUUCUGGCAUAAUGCGGGCUUUCAGCACCAGAAACAAGGAAUAUAGCAAGAUAUAGGAAAGAGAUCUUGUCUCAGUUGUGCCAUUUGUACAACGGAAUCAAGCAAUAACUACCCUGCAAAGUGGUGAGGUCUUAAUUGCUAACUUGAGUAUAGUGCUGAAGACAAUUGAGGGGCUGAAGAAUCAUCAAAUUCUCUUUUCUUCACUCCCAAUCCAAGUGUUUCAUUUUCCCAAAAGGAGGAAGCGAAGUGAUGUUGAGGAGCAGACCAAAACAUCUUAGGUAACACAAAUGGACACCAUAUUGAGAGAGUGGGGAGGGUACCCUUAAAUACCUCUUAAAUACCAUGAGAACAAAGAUCAGAUGAGAGGACUGACAGGGAAAGGAAGUGCCUGAUGGAAGAAUGGCAGGAAGUAGUAGAAACAGAGGGGAACAAAGUAGCAGGGAAAAUCCUGAAAGGACAGACGGAAAACAUAACCAUACUUCUGUCUUUUCCUGGUGCACAAUGUAUCCUGUUUUUCUGAGUUGGUGGGUGUGCCUCUGAACUUGGGAGAAAUUCACAGGCGAGAAAAUGUACCACAACUGUCUGAUCUUGUGAGCUGACAUUGUUUUUUAAGACCUUUUUUGCAUAAAGAGAAAUACAUAAGCUCAUUCCUCAAAAGCUCCAGGAAGUAAAGACUUUAAAAAGCUUUUCUGAAGUUUGACAGCAUUUUUGCUCUUAUGCUGUAACAACUCCAAAACUACAAAGAAAGGGAAACUAGAAACCUUCAAAUUCUUAACAGCAACUUCUUUCAUACUUCCCCUGGCAUAAUUACACAAUCAUUUCUCUAUGCCUGUUAAUAUAGUACUAAGAGCAUCAUGCUAACAAAGGAGGCGCAGGUCUAGCCAUUCAGAAGGGCUGCUGGGUUAAGUUGGCCAAAGGGAUGGCAAAGUAUGAUCUGAAAACCCUGGGGGCAGCUGGGCCCAUCCUGAUUAGAAAGCUCAGCAUGAAGCAAACACUAAGCUCAUUAGCUAAAAAUGGUUACUAGCUGAUUCCACCGGGAAUUCCCAUUGAAGCUAAGUGACUCACGGCUUAUUUUUAGAUCAUCUUGCCAAUAUUGCCAUGUAUUUAAUUACUAGAUAUAUUAAAAAUAGUGAUUAUUAUACAUAUGCUGUUAUUAUUAUUAGGCAAUCAAUAAUAAUUCAAAUCUACCCACAUAUUUAACUUUUGGUUUUUUGCUCAACUUUUCUGCGUCUAGAACUGAAAAUCUUAAUAGCUGAAACUGAGAUUUCAGUGGAUACAUUUGACACAAAAUAGACAAAGCAGAAGAAAUUUUAGUGACUCAAAAGAUAGGUAAGAAGAAAAUAAGAACUUCCAUCUAUGAGCAUUUUCUUUCUCCUUGAAGUCCUCCUUUUAAAUUUUCUCUUAGUGCAAGUCUUUUAGUGAUAUAUAUAAUUCACCUUAAUUCUUAAAGGAUUUACUACUGGCACAGAAUUCUAACAGGGAGUUAUUUUUUAUUCAGUAAUUUGAAGAUAUCACUACACUGUCUUCUGUCUUCUUGCUACAAGUCUAAUGUGAUGGGAUUAGUGCCCUUGUAAGAGAUAUGAGAGCUCUCUCUCUCUCUCUCUUACUCUGUGUGUGUGUGUGUGUGUGUGUGUGUGUGUGUGUGUGUCCCCACCCCAUGAUGACACCGUGAGGAGGUGGCCAUCUACAAGCCAGGAAGUGGCUAUACCUUGAUCUUGGACUUCCCAUCCUCCAGAACAGUGAGCAUAUAGAUUUAUGUUGCUUAAGGCACUAGACUAUGGUGUUUUGCUAUAGCAGUCCAAUUGACUAAUACAAUAGAGAAGACAUCUCUUCUCAAUUCAAAAUAAAUGCCUCUACCUGUGCUUUAGAUAGAUUAUUCUGCUUCCUCAGAAGCCUUGCUCCUCCAGACUUGCCCUUCCUUUGCUUAGGAUUCCAAUUUUCAAAAGUAGGAAAUUAUAGAACUGAAGUCUUUUUUAUACCAUUCUCUAAUCUAUUCCUCCCUAUCCAUACAUAACCACUAUCCUAAAGUUAGAAUAUGGUUUCUCGUGUAGCUUCUUCUGCUACCCGUGGUAGCAGAAUUGUCUUCUAAAGAUGUCCAUGCCCUAAUCUCUGAAGUCUAUGACUGCUACCUUACAUGGCAAAAGAGAUUUUGCAGAUGUCAUUAAAGUUAUAGACCUUAAAAUAGGGAGAUUAUCUUGGAUUAUCCAGGUGGAUCUAAUCUAAUCACAUGAGUUUUUAAAAGCAGAAAACUUUCUCCCACUGGUGUGAGAGAGAUGUGAUAGAAAUGGAAGUCAAAGAGAUUUAAAGCAUAAGAGGAAGUGACCUAUUGUUUGUUGCUCAAUGAGGGACACACAGAAUGCAUGAGAAGUAAUGUGGGCAGCCUCUAGGAGCAAAGACCAGCCCCCAGCUGGCAGCUAGCAAAAAAAACAGAGACCUCAGUCCCGCAACUGAAAAAAAUCAGCUAUCAGUCUAAGCUUGGAAGUAGAUUCAUUCCCAGAACCUCCAGAAAGGAAUGCAGCCCUGAUGACACCUUUGUUUAGGCUUGGUGAGACUCUGACAGAGAAACCAUGUAAGCCACUCGGUACCUGGACUCCUGAAUUAUAGAGCCAUGAGCUAAUCAAUAUGUAUUGUUUUAGUUUGCUAUAUUUAUUGUAAUUUCAUUUGUUACACAGCAGUAGAAAAUGAAUAUAUUUCCCCAUGUAUGCUUUUAUAUUUUUAUUACACAUGUCUGUUUUUAAAAACUUUACAUAAAUGUCUCUUGUUAUAUGUGACAUUCUGAAAUUACCUUGUUUUCAUUCAACUUGCUUUAGAAAUUUAUCCAGGUUGAUAUAUGUAAAAAUAAUUCAUUCAUUUAAUUGUUAUAAAGUGUCGCAUUAUAUGAUUAUACUACAUUUCUGCAUUUUUCAGAAGAUUAAAGAACAAGUAAGAAUUU
RNAcentral lists this long non-coding RNA (10822 nucleotides) under Homo sapiens (human). RNAcentral's name for it is "HSALNT0367978". Lineage: Eukaryota; Metazoa; Chordata; Mammalia; Primates; Hominidae. The record is from RNAcentral.